RNAcentral lists this ribosomal RNA (253 nucleotides) under uncultured bacterium. RNAcentral's name for it is "partial 16S ribosomal RNA". It matches the Rfam family "Bacterial small subunit ribosomal RNA", at positions 524 to 776 of the family's 1533-position model. The record is from RNAcentral.
UACGGGGGGGGCAAGCGUUGUUCGGAAUUACUGGGCGUAAAGCGCACGUAGGCGGACAUUUAAGUCAGGGGUGAAAUCCCAGAGCUCAACUCUGGAACUGCCUUUGAUACUGGGUGUCUUGAGUAUGGAAGAGGUGAGUGGAAUUCCGAGUGUAGAGGUGAAAUUCGUAGAUAUUCGGAGGAACACCAGUGGCGAAGGCGGCUCACUGGUCCAUUACUGACGCUGAGGUGCGAAAGCGUGGGGAGCAAACAGG